UACGAAGGGGGCUAGCGUUGCUCGGAAUUACUGGGCGUAAAGCGCACGUAGGCGGAUUGUUAAGUCGGGGGUAAAAUCCUGGAGCUCAACUCCAGAACUGCCUUCGAAACUGGCGAUCUUGAGUUCGGGAGAGGUGAGUGGAACUGCGAGUGUAGAGGUGAAAUUCGUAGAUAUUCGCAAGAACACCAGUGGCGAAGGCGGCUCACUGGCCCGAUACUGACGCUGAGGUGCGAAAGCGUGGGGAGCAAACAGG
Molecule: ribosomal RNA, 253 nt
Filed under: uncultured bacterium
Lineage: Bacteria
Description: partial 16S ribosomal RNA
Rfam family: Bacterial small subunit ribosomal RNA
Source: RNAcentral